RNAcentral lists this unclassified non-coding RNA (397 nucleotides) under uncultured Gammaproteobacteria bacterium. RNAcentral's name for it is "contains 16S-23S intergenic spacer region". It matches the Rfam family "Bacterial small subunit ribosomal RNA", at positions 801 to 1195 of the family's 1533-position model. The record is from RNAcentral. Lineage: Bacteria; Pseudomonadati; Pseudomonadota; Gammaproteobacteria.
CUAAACGAUGUCAACUGGUUGUCGGGGAAGUAAUUCCUUGGUAACGAAGCUAACGCGUGAAGUUGACCGCCUGGGGAGUACGGCCGCAAGGUUAAAACUCAAAGGAAUUGACGGGGACCCGCACAAGCGGUGGAUUAUGUGGAUUAAUUCGAUGCAACGCGAAAAACCUUACCUACCCUUGACAUGCCCGGAACUUGGCAGAGAUGCCUUGGUGCCCGAAAGGGAACCGGGACACAGGUGCUGCAUGGCUGUCGUCAGCUCGUGUCGUGAGAUGUUGGGUUAAGUCCCGCAACGAGCGCAACCCUUAUCGCUAAUUGCCAUCAUUUAGUUGGGCACUUUAACGAGACUGCCGGUGACAAACCGGAGGAAGGUGGGGAUGACGUUCGGAAUGUCGAUA